Molecule: ribosomal RNA, 340 nt
Filed under: Campylaspis undata
Lineage: Eukaryota; Metazoa; Arthropoda; Malacostraca; Cumacea; Nannastacidae
Description: partial small subunit ribosomal RNA
Source: RNAcentral
AUCCCUAAAUCCAACAAUUUUGGCGGCCUUUAAAACACAUAAAAGGAGUUCGCUUGGUAAAUCGACAGUCCUCGAAAAUUCUACUUUCCCUAAAUCAUGAUUUAGUUUGUAUACCGCCGUCUAGAUGACUUCUAUAAAGGUCUUCAUCAACAGAAAAAGACCUGUUAAGACAGGUCAUGGCACAGCUUAUGGGUUAGUCAUCGCGAUCUACAGUAAAAUAGAUUUAUAGAUUUCAUAUUGCAAGAUCAGUACCUGAAAGAGGAUUUUACAGUAAUAGAGGCUUUUCUUUCCUUUGUGGCCGCUUUUAUGCAGGUGCACAUAUCGCCCGUCGCUCGCGGGA